CAGAAAGAGGGCAGUGCAGAGGCAAAAGCACAGAGACAAAAGUCUGCAUGUGGGUGGGGAGUGAGGGACAUGGCUAGCCUACCACGAAGCUUCAGAUCAGGAAGAGAUGACAGCUGAGGCUGGACAGGGUGGCAGAGGGUGUCCUGAAGACAGCGGGGAACCAUGAAAGACAUGGAGCAGGGGCGUGGUGAGAUUAAAUCUGUACAGCAGAGGCAGAAGCCGGCAUCAAGGAGACAACAAUCCUGGCAAGACACAGAUAAGACCAGCACUAGAGAAGAGACGGCCAGCAAGGCUGACGAGGGCCACCUCAGCUGCAUCCCAUAGAGUUGCCACCCAGACCUCAGUCAGGACCUUUCAGGCCAGGCGGGAGCGCCCAACCGAAGGCUUCACAGCUGCCCUCACCACCCAGCCUUCAACGGUGUCCAGAGAGGGUCAGCCAGGCCUGGGUUGGGCACGCUCUACCUUCCCCAGUCACCAGCCUGUUUCCUGGAGGAGAAGGCUGAGACCCGAGAAGGGAGGUGAGUGCACCCCGUCCCAUGUCAGGCUCCGCUGUAUCCCC
This 559-nucleotide long non-coding RNA is filed under the name Piliocolobus tephrosceles (Ugandan red Colobus). Its description in RNAcentral is "lncRNA (ENSPTEG00000033349.1)". Lineage: Eukaryota; Metazoa; Chordata; Mammalia; Primates; Cercopithecidae. The record is from RNAcentral.